UGAGGAAUAUUGGUCAAUGGGCGAGAGCCUGAACCAACCAAGUCGCGUGAAGGAAGACUGCCUUAUGGGUUGUAAACUUCUUUUAUACAGGAAUAAAAAGGCUUACGUGUAGGCCAUUGCAAGUACUGUAUGAAUAAGCAUCGGCUAACUCCGUGCCAGCAGCCGCGGUAAUACGGAGGAUGCGAGCGUUAAUCCGGAUUUAUUGGGGUUUAAAGGGUGCGCAGGCGGGCUUUUAAGUCAGCGGUGAAAUCUGGACGCUUAACGUCCAAACUGCCGUUGAAACUGGAGUCUUGAGUAUGGAUGAAGUAGGCGGAAUUCGUUGUGUAGCGGUGACAUGCAUAGAUAUAACGAGGAACUCCGAUUGCGUAGGCAGCUUACUAAGCCAUAACUGACGCUCAUGCACGAAAGCGUGGGGAUCAAACAGGAUUAGAUACCCUGGUAGUCCACGCCGUAAAACGAUGAUUACUAGUUGUAUGCGAUAUGAUAGUAUGUGACUAAGCGAAAAGCGAUAAGUAAUCCACCUGGGGAGUACGCCGGCAACGGUGAAACUCAAAGGAAUUGACGGGGUCAUAGCUGUUUCCUG
RNAcentral lists this ribosomal RNA (583 nucleotides) under uncultured bacterium. RNAcentral's name for it is "partial 16S ribosomal RNA". It matches the Rfam family "Bacterial small subunit ribosomal RNA", at positions 355 to 1376 of the family's 1533-position model. The record is from RNAcentral.